UAUUAAUUUAAAGUUUUGAGCGAUGCAGAGGAGGUUGGACAGCAGACCGCAAAGCAUCAUGGGUAUUGAGCGCCUAAUUCCACGCGUGGCUUUCAUUGACUGUUGACUGUCGAGGAGUGAACAUCUCUCUGACUACAAAACCAAUAUGGAAGCUUUCGAACGACAGGAAUGUCAGGCUGCGAUAUUUUGUGAAAACAGCAUGUUAUUGCUGUAUUGUUGCGAUCAUCAUUAUGACUUGUGUUUUACUAUAUCAAGUUUACCUUUUUUUAAAUUGCAUGGGACGUGUUGUCAUUUUAGCUUUACAAAUAAUCCGUCUGAGAAAAGGAAUUGUGUUUAAUUUAUAUUCCCAAUAGCGAGGCUCUUCUUUCUAAGUUGGAUGGCGUUAAAUCUCUGUGUAUCAUCAACGUGAAAACAAGCGCAGUAUUUAAGGUUGGUAUACUACAAUGCAUUACAGUUAUCGUGUUAUUUUAUAGUUAAAUUUCCGCUUUGUUGUUUUUAUUCUUGUACUUUUAAUAUAAAUACACUGUACAAAAUUAUGGCGUCUUGUGUUUACAAUGCCUCUAGUUUGACCCUAUAGUGUGUGUAUAUGUACUGUGUCACUGUGAUACAUAUGUACAUGUUUUGAGUUAAACGAAUUGUUUAAUACAUUUUUGCUGAAGUAUGAUGCCUGUUUGUAUGGAUAGAUUUUUACAUAUAUGUGCAUACAGUAUAGUAUAUUUUUCAAUUUUCAUCUGUAAAAUAAUAUGUGUGUUGUUCUAAUAUUACUGUAAAUAGUGACACACUUUUGCAUUAGAUUGCUAAUUUUAGAGAUUACAGUGUAUGUAUAAAAUAAUAAAAUAAAAAUUUUCUUGUUAUGAUUUUGUAGAAAGAGAUCUACUUGAGUGGUUCAGUGGUUGGAUGGUCUUGAACCUGGUCAGCAUGGAUAUGGUAUUAAUGAAGGUGAUAGGGCAGAAAGUGGUGACCAGUUAAGUGAUCAGGAUGAAAGUGACGAGGACGAAAUCACCCAUGCUGUGCCAUUCAAGUGCAUUGGUGCUGUUCAUGAGAAACAUUACCAAGAUAAUUUGUAACAGGCAUGCCUUGCAAUUCAUGGACAAGAUAAACCAGCGAAUGUAAGAAUACGUCCAAAGCCAUUGAAUCCAAUGGACCCAAGUGCAAUAGCAAUUGAUGUAGACUAUGGAACUGGAUGGACACAUGUGAUGUUGGCUAUAUUAUUUGCACCCACUAAUUGCUGCAUGAGAUAUCUUAGAGGUCUAUGUUCAGCAUAUAAAGUAUAGGGUUGACUUUUUUAAAAUAGGAUUUUAUCCAAAAUUUUUCAUAAAGGGAUGUGGUGAGUGGGAGACUCAAGUGGUAAGGAGGGGCAUGAGUGUAUGUCGACAGAUGUUUGUGAUAUAAUAGUAACUGACUAGGUUUAGCAAGUUAUAGAAAUGAUGUUAUUUAAAUUGGCUAACUUUUUAGAUUUUUUCAGCAUUUUUACCUUUCACUUUAUUGCCAAACAAAAAUGAAAAAUCAUUUAAUUUAAGUAGGUGUGUAUCUAUAAGAAAACAAUAUCUGUCAUGUGCACUUGUGCAACUCCCUCAAAAUAGCAAUAUUGCUUUUUUAUUGUGUAGGACACCAAUAUGGUUCUCAUUACCUAUAUCUAAACUUAAAAAAACAUGUGCUAUAAAUAAAUGCAUCUACCUAUUUCGUGACUGAAUAGAAUUUAUUUUGUCAAGCCAUGUAAUUAAUUUUGAAAUUGCUGUGACUUUAUGUAACCCUUCUGCAGGAAUUGAGCCUAAACCCUAAAGCACCAACCCCUAAAGCACCAACCCCUAAAGCACCAACCCAUCCCCAACAAUAAAAUUACAUCUUACUGUCAAUUUGUCUUUGAAAUCUGACCACCAAUGUUUAUUUG
RNAcentral lists this long non-coding RNA (1891 nucleotides) under Paramuricea clavata. The record is from RNAcentral. Lineage: Eukaryota; Metazoa; Cnidaria; Anthozoa; Malacalcyonacea; Plexauridae.